This is a regulatory RNA element of Niastella yeongjuensis, 36 nucleotides long. It matches the Rfam family "DUF805b RNA". From Rfam's summary of the family: Bacteroidetes, Chlorobi (1 example), Proteobacteria. Lineage (Flavobacteria) The record is from Rfam. Lineage: Bacteria; Pseudomonadati; Bacteroidota; Chitinophagia; Chitinophagales; Chitinophagaceae.
UGUGGGUUAGCCGAAAACCACCAAACAGAGUAGGCA